AACUGAUUCGAGAAGAGUGGGGACUGUGGCUGCGAGGUUUUACCACUUCGCAGUUGCGGAAACCAUUUUUAUCGCAUUGGUUUGAACCGGGUAAAAGUCGUAACAAGGUAGCUGUAGGUGAACCUGCAGCUGGAUCAUCG
This 140-nucleotide non-coding RNA is filed under the name Caenorhabditis japonica. RNAcentral describes it as "Eukaryotic small subunit ribosomal RNA". It matches the Rfam family "Eukaryotic small subunit ribosomal RNA", at positions 1692 to 1831 of the family's 1831-position model. Lineage: Eukaryota; Metazoa; Nematoda; Chromadorea; Rhabditida; Rhabditidae. The record is from Rfam by way of RNAcentral.